CGAACGGGUGAGUAACACGUAGGGAACCUGCCCGCGCACCGGGAAUACGCUCUGGAAACGGAGAACAAAUCCCGAUGUACAGGAAGGAGGCAUCUUCUUUCUGUGAAACAUCCUUUAGGGGAUGGGGCGCGGAUGGACCUGCGGUGCAUUAGUUGGUUGGCGGGGUAAAGGCCCACCAAGACGAUGAUGCAUAGCCGGCCUGAGAGGGCGGACGGCCACAUUGAGACUGAGACACGGCCCAGACUCCUACGGAAGGCAGCAG
Molecule: ribosomal RNA, 262 nt
Filed under: uncultured bacterium
Lineage: Bacteria
Description: partial 16S ribosomal RNA
Rfam family: Bacterial small subunit ribosomal RNA
Source: RNAcentral